UACGAAGGGGGCUAGCGUUGCUCGGAUUGACUGGGCGUAAAGGGCGCGUAGGCGGCGGACACAGUCAGACGUGAAAUUCCUGGGCUCAACCUGGGGGCUGCGUUUGAUACAUGUCUGCUUGAGUUCGGAAGAGGGUCGUGGAAUUCCCAGUGUAGAGGUGAAAUUCGUAGAUAUUGGGAAGAACAUCGGUGGCGAAGGCGGCGACCUGGUCCGAUACUGACGCUGAGGCGCGAAAGCGUGGGGAGCAAACAGG
This 253-nucleotide ribosomal RNA is filed under the name uncultured bacterium. Its description in RNAcentral is "partial 16S ribosomal RNA". It matches the Rfam family "Bacterial small subunit ribosomal RNA", at positions 524 to 776 of the family's 1533-position model. The record is from RNAcentral.